RNAcentral lists this ribosomal RNA (253 nucleotides) under uncultured bacterium. RNAcentral describes it as "partial 16S ribosomal RNA". It matches the Rfam family "Bacterial small subunit ribosomal RNA", at positions 524 to 776 of the family's 1533-position model. The record is from RNAcentral.
UACGUAGGGUCCAAGCGUUGUCCGGAUUUAUUGGGUUUAAAGGGUGCGUAGGCGGUUCCAUAAGUCAGUGGUGAAAUACAAUAGCUUAACUAUUGAGGUGCCAUUGAUACUGCGGAACUUGAGUACAGACGAGGUAGGCGGAAUUGACGGUGUAGCGGUGAAAUGCUUAGAUAUCGUCAAGAACACCGAUAGCGAAGGCAGCUUACUAGACUGUAACUGACGCUGAGGCACGAAAGUGUGGGGAUCAAACAGG